This 693-nucleotide ribosomal RNA is filed under the name Paenibacillus odorifer. RNAcentral describes it as "bacterial LSU rRNA". It matches the Rfam family "Bacterial large subunit ribosomal RNA", at positions 1 to 687 of the family's 2925-position model. Lineage: Bacteria; Bacillati; Bacillota; Bacilli; Caryophanales; Paenibacillaceae. The record is from RNAcentral.
AGGUUAAGCUAAUAAGAGCACACGGAGGAUGCCUAGGCGCCAGGAGCCGACGAAGGACGUGGCGAACAACGAAACUGCCUCGGGGAGCUGUAAGCAAGCUUUGAUCCGGGGGUGUCCGAAUGGGGAAACCCAGCUGUGGUAAUUCGCAGUUACUCAUACCUGAAUACAUAGGGUGUGUAGAGGCAGACCAGGGGAACUGAAACAUCUAAGUACCCUGAGGAAGAGAAAACAAUAGUGAUUCCGUCAGUAGCGGCGAGCGAACGCGGAACAGCCUAAACCAAGGGGCUUGCCUCUUGGGGUUGUGGGACGUCUCACAUGGAGUUACAAAGGAAUAUGGUAGGUGAAGAGGUCUGGAAAGGCCCGCGAUAGAGGUAAAAGCCCUGUAACCUAAACUGUGUUCUCUCCGAGACGGAUCCCGAGUAGUGCGGGGCACGUGAAACCCCGUAUGAAUCCAGCAGGACCAUCUGCUAAGGCUAAAUACUACCUGGCGACCGAUAGUGAAACAGUACCGUGAGGGAAAGGUGAAAAGCACCCCGGAAGGGGAGUGAAAUAGAACCUGAAACCGUGUGCUUACAAAAAGUCAGAGCCCGAUCUAUGGGUGAUGGCGUGCCUUUUGUAGAAUGAACCGGCGAGUUACGUUUAACAUGCAAGGUUAAGCCGAGAAGGUGGAGCCGCAGCGAAAGCGAGUCUGAA